GCUGGGCGUGGUGGUGCACGCUUGUAGUCCCAGCUACUCAGGAGGCUGAGGCAGGAGAAUUGCUUGGAUCCAGGAGGCGGAGGUUGCGGUGAGCCAAGAUCUCGCCACUGCACUCCAGCCUGGUGACAGAGCAAGACUCUGUCUCAAAAAACAAACAAACAAAAAUUAGCUGGGCUGAGGUGGGAGGAUCACUUGAGCCUGAGAUGUCGAGGCUGCAGUGAACUGUGUUUGUGCCACUGUACUCCGUCCUAGGUGACAAAGCGAGACCCUGCCUCA
RNAcentral lists this small RNA (276 nucleotides) under Saimiri boliviensis boliviensis (Bolivian squirrel monkey). Its description in RNAcentral is "Metazoan signal recognition particle RNA (ENSSBOG00000001519.1)". Lineage: Eukaryota; Metazoa; Chordata; Mammalia; Primates; Cebidae. The record is from RNAcentral.